Molecule: non-coding RNA, 274 nt
Organism: Pelobates cultripes (western spadefoot toad)
Lineage: Eukaryota; Metazoa; Chordata; Amphibia; Anura; Pelobatidae
Source: the annotation of a GenBank genome assembly
CUUUAAGAUUCUCCACUCCAAGACAGACGUGUUUGGUAAAGGUAAGUGGGUUCAGCUGGCAGCUGCCCCAGGAUUGGCCACCUGUCCGGUUCUGUCCUUACGGUGUUUUUGCGCAGUUCGCCCUGCACUGGCUGGCCCCCUGUUAGUGCACGAAGAUGGAAGCUUCCUCUCCCAUUUUCAGUUUGUCAGGGUGUUUCGGCUGGGGUUGGCUGCGUUGGGCAUGGAGGGUGCGGAGUUUGGAGGGAAUUCCUUCUGAAUUGGCACAGCGAUGGAG